GACGAACGCUGGCGGCGUGCUUAACACAUGCAAGUCGAACGCUGAAGCUUGGUGCUUGCACUGGGUGGGUGAGUGGCGAACGGGUGAGUAAUAAGUGAGUAACCUGCCCUUGACUCUGGGAUAAGCCUGGGAAACUGGUUCUAAUACUGGAUACGACAUGUCACCGCAUGGUGGUGUGUGGAAAGGGUUUUACUGGUUUUGGAUGGGCUCACGGCCUAUCAGCUUGUUGGUGGGGUAAUGGCUCACCAAGGCGACGACGGGUAGCCGGCCUGAGAGGGUGACCGGCCACACUGGGACUGAGACACGGCCCAGACUCCUACGGGAGGCAGCAGUGGGGAAUAUUGCACAAUGGGCGGAAGCCUGAUGCAGCGACGCCGCGUGAGGGAUGACGGCCUUCGGGUUGUAAACCUCUUUCAGCACGGAAGAAGCGAAAGUGACGGUACGUGCAGAAGAAGCGCCGGCUAACUACGUG
RNAcentral lists this ribosomal RNA (472 nucleotides) under uncultured bacterium. RNAcentral's name for it is "partial 16S ribosomal RNA". It matches the Rfam family "Bacterial small subunit ribosomal RNA", at positions 28 to 507 of the family's 1533-position model. The record is from RNAcentral.